Mastomys coucha (southern multimammate mouse) is the source of this 1488-nucleotide long non-coding RNA. RefSeq lists it as uncharacterized. NCBI's taxonomy places the organism in Eukaryota, Metazoa, Chordata, Mammalia, Rodentia, Muridae. The record is from RefSeq and is a predicted model, not a curated record. The transcript is spliced from 2 exons.
UCAGUGGUGGGACCGAGGGUUGCAAGGCGCCCGAGGCUGAGCUUCAGUGUCGCGGGGCGGGGCUAGCUUUGCCGUGACGUCUAGGGGCGGGACAAGAGGCCCCGCAGCUGUGAUGGACAGGCAAGGGGCGGGUUUAACGGUCGAAGGGCGGCAGAGGCUCAAAAUGGCGCCCGGGGCUGUGAUGGACAGGAAAAGGGUAGUGCCCGGGAUUCACGGUGACUUCAGGGGACGUGGCCGCCGAUCGCUGAGUGAGACGAACUGAGUCACGGCGUCCGCGGCUGAGAUUGACAGCCGCGGGGGCGGGGCCGCGGUUCAGCCCCUUGCGCCGCUGCUGCCACCGCCAGGCAGGGAAACGUGGCGCCUGAGGCCGGGCCUGUCAGUCUCUGAGGUUGUCACCACCGCCGUGAAGCCCGAUGGAGAAGAAUAUCAGCUCAAAGGUCUAGAAUAUAUUGUCAGUGAAAUCAUGAAUGAAAAACUUUAAACUAAAGAAGUUGCCUACUAAGAUUCUACCUUACAUACUUAUUGGCUUCUCAAAAGAAACUGAAAGUUUUUCUAUGCACAUGCUUCCAAAACUAACAGACUCACAAAGAAGGCUUUGAUAUUCACAGAUCCCAACAGGUGAUCAAAGGUUUACUUGUGAAGAGCCAGACAGACUGCUGCCAGCAAAGAACAUUCAUGCUACCCUAGGCUGCAUCUCAAUGUUGGUUAUUUCUGCAGCUAAAUUUCCUCUGAGAUGAAUUGCCCUUCAAUACUCUUCUCCUCUAGACAUCUCUGCCUUACUUUCUUCCCAAACUAACAAUGUUUAUUAAGGCUCUGUAUUUGUAAAUAAUAACUCUGUAUGUGAAAUUUGCAAUUGAGAGUGAAAAUUAUGGAAACAGAAUACCAAAAGCAAUAAUCACAAAUUCAUAGCUAAUUAAAAUUUUCCCUUAUAUUACCUAUGUAUUGACUAUAUUCAUGAUAUCAUGAUUACAAGUAAAUUAAACUGUUUAAUGUGGCCAAAAAUUAUUUUAUUCAUAAUAAAUUAAACAUAGAAGUUAAUAUGAAAAGACAGAAAUAUUUUUAAUAAAUGUAUCCACACAGAUAAAAUAAAUAUAAAAUAAUAUUAUGAGUCUGAAUCAUUCUUUGGAAUAGGUAACAUAAGGAUAUAUAUUUAAAUUUUAAUGUCUAGUUUUAAGGACAUGAUGUAUGUAAACGUACAAUUCUGGUCACAAUGGUUCCUCAUUGUACCCUAUCCCAGUUCUAGUAUACGACAUAGUCUCUAUCCAUUAAGGAUCUAAAUUAUUUUAAAAGAGUACUCCUACAGAAGUUGAUUUCAUUCCUAAUGGACAAUGUUCUCACUCAUAUAAGAAUAUCACAUCUGGGCUUUUCAAUAUGUUAUAUACAUAAUAGAUUUUUUCAUAUAGACAACAUAUGAAUCACUUUAAAAUUGUUUUUUUCCUUUCAUGCCUCCUUAAAAUCAAAUAAAUAUACAAAGACUGAAAGAUCUAG